UUAUAGCCCUGAUAGUAGUGAAAAUCCUUUUCAACUCUUGCAAAAAGAGUUGAAAAGAUUGUAACGGAUAGCAGGAAAAGCU
This 82-nucleotide small RNA is filed under the name Flavobacterium croceum DSM 17960. RNAcentral's name for it is "Flavo-1 RNA". It matches the Rfam family "Flavo-1 RNA". The record is from Rfam by way of RNAcentral. Lineage: Bacteria; Pseudomonadati; Bacteroidota; Flavobacteriia; Flavobacteriales; Flavobacteriaceae.